AGUGAACGCUGGCGGUAGGCCUAACACAUGCAAGUCGAACGGCAGCACAGUAAGAGCUUGCUCUUACGGGUGGCGAGUGGCGGACGGGUGAGGAAUACAUCGGAAUCUACUUUUUCGUGGGGGAUAACGUAGGGAAACUUACGCUAAUACCGCAUACGACCUACGGGUGAAAGCAGGGGAUCUUCGGACCUUGCGCGAUUGAAUGAGCCGAUGUCGGAUUAGCUAGUUGGCGGGGUAAAGGCCCACCAAGGCGACGAUCCGUAGCUGGUCUGAGCGGAUGGUCAGCCACCCUGGAACUGAGACAGGGUCCAGACUCCUACGGGAGGCAGCAGUGGGGAAUAUUGGACAAUGGGCGCAAGCCUGAUCCAGCCAUACCGCGUGGGUGAAGAAGGCCUUCGGGUUGUAAAGCCCUUUUGUUGGGAAAGAAAAGCAGCAGGUUAAUACCCCGCUGUUCUGACGGUACCCAAAGAAUAAGCACCGGCUAACUUCGUG
RNAcentral lists this ribosomal RNA (492 nucleotides) under uncultured bacterium. Its description in RNAcentral is "partial 16S ribosomal RNA". It matches the Rfam family "Bacterial small subunit ribosomal RNA", at positions 29 to 507 of the family's 1533-position model. The record is from RNAcentral.